Molecule: long non-coding RNA, 210 nt
Filed under: Nicotiana benthamiana
Lineage: Eukaryota; Viridiplantae; Streptophyta; Magnoliopsida; Solanales; Solanaceae
Description: long non-coding RNA (NBEN_LNC000411)
Source: RNAcentral
CCUGAGCAUCCUCAUCUCCGCAACCUUCAUCCUCUGAACAUGAGAGUUCUUCACUGGACAACACUCCGGCCAUACAAUAUUGCAGGUCUAACCACAGCUCUAUGAAAUUUCCCCUUGAGUUUCAGUGGAACUUUCUUGUCACACAACACUCCUGAUGCAAGCCUCCACUUUGACCACCCCGCUCCUAUAUGAUGAGUGACGUCCCCGUCA